Molecule: ribosomal RNA, 1674 nt
Filed under: Triticum aestivum (bread wheat)
Lineage: Eukaryota; Viridiplantae; Streptophyta; Magnoliopsida; Poales; Poaceae
Description: partial small subunit ribosomal RNA
Source: RNAcentral
AUGGUCGGCGCCCAAGGGUCGACGAUGCCGGCAGCGGAGGCGGGGAUGGACAUUGAGCUCUCACGCGGGAGCUGGGCCCCAAACUUCGCGUUCGCGUUCGAUUCAGAGCGCUUCUCCGACAAGGUGCUGCGGAUAGAGAUCGUCGCCAACAGUGAAGUUGCGGGAGGAGGAUCCCUCACCGAACCGGCAAGCCAGCGCGCGGAGGAAGAACAAAUACAGGAAGCCUUGCAAGCUCUUGAGUGUUGUGGGUUGAGCCCAAUCUGCAAUUGCUUGGAUCUUGUUUGCAUCUAUUGCACCACCAUUGAUGCCAAUAAUGUGGCCCGUGUACUCUUAGCUCUUGUUGGACGAAUGAACACUUGUUCUCCUUCAGGAGUAACUACUGAUGAAGGACAGAGUAUUGACUCUUCCUCAACCAUGGCAGCCAAAGCAAUUUCAGCAGUAAAGGCCCUUUAUAUAAACUCGGCAAUUCUUGCCGCAAGAAGUCCUUUCUUUCAAAAGCUUUUCACAAAUGGGAUGAAAGAAUCUGAUGAGUCACAUCCAAGAAUUAGGAUUGCUGAUUCAGAAGAAAAUUCCCUUAUGGAGCUUCUAAGAUUCAUGUACAGUGGAAAGCUGACAACAAUUGAGCCCACUCUUCUGCUCGACAUCUUAAUGGGUGCUGACAAAUUUGAGGUUCCUGCUUGCAUGAGGUACUGCAGUCAGUUACUCAUAAGCCGUCCUAUGACCACAGAAUCUGCACUGCUAUACCUAGGCCAUCCAUGCUCCAUUUUAAUGGCUGCUGAAGUUCAGAGUUUAGUACGUGCAGCGAAGGGAUUCCUUGCCAAUAAAUACAAGGAUUUUGAUAUGUUCCAAGAUGAACUGAUGAACAUCUCUCUUGUUGGAAUCGAAGCCAUCUUUUCGAGCAGUGACCUACACGUAUUAUGUGAAGAUGUGGUUUAUUACUUCUUGCUCAAGUGGGCCCGUGUGCGAUACUAUUAUUCAGAGGAGGAAAGGCGCAAGGUCUUGAGUUAUCGCUUACUUCCACUGGUACGCUUCAGUAAUAUGAGCUGUGAUGCACUGCAGAAGGUCCUAAGAUAUGAAGAUGUUGAUAUAGACCAUGAGUACUUAACUAAGCAUAUUGCUGAGGUACUUCUACACAAAGCAUACCCAAACCAGAUGGAAGGUGCUCUUGCAGCAAACGUGACAACAUGUUGGCAAUUUGCUGAGCGAGCUUACGACUUCAAACUUGUGAGAGUGGUUGCUUUUAAUCAACCCUGCCCACAGGUUACAGUUUACAUGGAUCUAAAGCGUGAUGAGUGUUCCCGACUCUUCCCAUCAGGAGGUAUAUGCAUGCAAAUUUUCCAUCUCGCGGGGCACAAAUUCUAUCUCUUGGCAAACUGUAAAAUGGUUGAGCAGGCAACAUCGUACAGCUUUGCCCUAUCGUUAAAUAUUUUUGAUGAGCCGGCAGGCUCAAUAUGUUUAGAUAUUGAGUUUGCUGCAAGGACAAAGCCGUUAGGAAAAUUUGUGAGCAAGUACGGAUAUAAGAACACCAUGACUGGUGAUCGGUCGCAGGGAUGCGGUGAUCUUUUCGGAAUGCCAUGGUCGACGUUCAUUGCUGAUGACAGCCUCUUCAUCGAUGGCGUGCUAUAUCUGAGAGCCGACUUGACUCUGGUGGUGCAGCCUGAAUUACAGACCUGA